This 302-nucleotide unclassified non-coding RNA is filed under the name uncultured Helminthosporium. RNAcentral describes it as "sequence contains ITS1". The stretch from base 1 to 105 matches the Rfam family "5.8S ribosomal RNA", at positions 50 to 154 of the family's 154-position model. Lineage: Eukaryota; Fungi; Ascomycota. The record is from RNAcentral.
GAAAUGCGAUAAGUAGUGUGAAUUGCAGAAUUCAGUGAAUCAUCGAAUCUUUGAACGCACAUUGCGCCCCUCGGUAUUCCGUGGGGCAUGCCUGUUCGAGCGUCAUUUACACCCUCAAGCUUUGCUUGGUGUUGGGCGUCUGUCCCGCCGUCCUGGCGUGGACUCGCCCCAAAAUUAUUGGCAGCGGUCCUGACCGGCUUCUUGCGCAGCACUUCGCGCUCUGAGGCAUGAGGAGGGCCGCGUCCACAAAGUAGACUCCAAUAUUUGACCUCGGAUCAGGUAGGGAUACCCGCUGAACUUAA